CUUGUCUGAAUAUGGGGGGACCAUCCUCCAAGGCUAAAUACUCCUGAAUGACCGAUAGUGAACUAGUACCGUGAGGGAAAGGUGAAAAGAACCCUUAUAAAGGGAGUGAAAUAGAAUCUGAAACCGCUUGCAUACAAGCAGUAGGAGCAUGAUUUAGUCAUGUGACUGCGUACCUUUUGUAUAAUGGGUCAGCGAGUUAUUUUUAGUGGCGAGGAUAACUGAAUAAGGGAUCCGUAGCGAAAGCGAGUUUUAAUAGGGCGACUAGUCGCUAGGAGUAGACCCGAAACCGGCGCGAUCUAUCCAUGGCCAGGUUGAAGAUUAGGUAGUACUAAUUGGAGGACCGAACCCAAUACUGUUGCAAAAGUAUGGGAUGAGCUGUGGAUCGGAGUGAAAGGCUAAUCAAGCACGGAGAUAGCUGGUUCUCCCCGAAAACUAUUUAGGUAGUGCCUCGUGUAUAACUCAUUGGGGUAAAGCACUGUUUCGACAAUGGGGGUUUUACGACCUUACUGACUCGAUGCAAACUCAGAAUACGAUGAAGUUCGAUCACGGGAGACACACUGCGGGUGCUAAGGUCCGCAGUGGAAAGGGAAACAGCCCAGACCGCCAACUAAGGUCCCAAAGUCAUAGCUAAGUGGGAAACGAAGUGGGAAGGCCCAGACAGCCAGGAGGUUGGCUUAGAAGCAGCCACCCUUUAAAGAAAGCGUAAUAGCUCACUGGUCGAGUCGGCCUGCACGUAAGAUUUAACGGGGCUAAGCUAUGCACUGAAGUUGCGGAAUAUAUUUAGUAUAUUGGUAGGGGAGCGUUCUGUAAGCCGAUGAAGGUGAAUUGAGAAGUUUGCUGGAGGUAUCAGAAGUGCGAAUGCUGACAUGAGUAACGUAAAAUAAGUGAGAUUCUUAUUGGCCGAAAACCCAAGGGUUCCUACGCAAUGUUAAUCAACGUAGGGUAAGCCGGCCCCUAAGGCGUAGCUGAAGAGUGAAGUCGAUGGGAAACAGGUUAAUAUUCCUGUGCUGCUUAUAUGAACGAAGGAGGGACGGAGAAGGUUAGGUAGGCCUGGCGAAUGGUUGUCCAGGUGAAAGUAUGUAGGUAGGAAUGCUAGGCAAAUCCGGUGUUCUGUUGAUCUGAGAUACGAGACGAAGUUAAACUUGUUUGACGAAGCUAUUGAUACCAUGCUUCCAGGAAAAGCUUCUAAGUAUAUUGUAUAAGUGACCGUACUGUAAACCGACACUGGUGGGUAGGUAGAGAAUACUAAGGCUAUGAGAUAACUCUGGUGAAGGAACUAGGCAAAAUGACACCGUAACUUUGGAAGAAGGUGUGCCCUUGAUGGUGAUGAGACUUGCUCUUUGAGCUGUUGGGGGUUGCAGAUACCAGGUGGCUGCGACUGUUUAUCAAAAACACAGCACUCUGCGAAAUCGUAAGAUGAAGUAUAGGGUGUGACGCCUGCCCGGUGCUGGAAGGUUAAUUGAAGGGGUUAGCGCAAGCGAAGCUCUGGAUCGAAGCCCCAGUAAACGGCGGCCGUAACUAUAACGGUCCUAAGGUAGCGAAAUUCCUUGUCGGGUAAGUUCCGACCUGCACGAAUGGCGUAACGAUGGCCACACUGUCUCCACCAGAGACUCAGUGAAAUUGAAAUCGCUGUGAAGAUGCAGUGUACCCGCGGUUAGACGGAAAGACCCCGUGAACCUUUACUAUAGCUUUGCACUGGACUUUGAAUAUUUAUGUGUAGGAUAGGUGGGAGACCAUGAAGCAGCUACGCCAGUAGUUGUGGAGUCGUCCUUGAAAUACCACCCUUGAAUAUUUGAAGUUCUAACUCAGGAGAGAUUCGAGGACAGUGUAUGGUGGGUAGUUUGACUGGGGCGGUCUCCUCCUAAAGAGUAACGGAGGAGUACGAAGGUGCACUCGGUACGGUCGGAAAUCGUGCCAAGAGUAUAAAGGCAAAAGUGCGCUUGACUGCGAGAGUGACGGCUCGAGCAGG
This 1969-nucleotide ribosomal RNA is filed under the name Francisella tularensis. Its description in RNAcentral is "partial 23S ribosomal RNA". It matches the Rfam family "Bacterial large subunit ribosomal RNA", at positions 433 to 2397 of the family's 2925-position model. Lineage: Bacteria; Pseudomonadati; Pseudomonadota; Gammaproteobacteria; Thiotrichales; Francisellaceae. The record is from RNAcentral.